Bufo bufo (common toad) is the source of this 152-nucleotide long non-coding RNA. RefSeq lists it as uncharacterized. Lineage: Eukaryota; Metazoa; Chordata; Amphibia; Anura; Bufonidae. The transcript has 3 exons. The record is from RefSeq and is a predicted model, not a curated record.
GUGUGUUUGGGAAGGCAGUGUUUUAUGUUUGUGCAAGCUGUCAGAUGAGAAGGUAAGAUGGAGGGAGAGAUGAAUAGUUCCUUGCUGGGUGAAUGGAUGUGGGGAUAUUUCAGGAGGUUGUGGAAAAGUGAAAAUUAUGUGAAAAUCACCUG